Molecule: ribosomal RNA, 465 nt
Filed under: Vreelandella stevensii
Lineage: Bacteria; Pseudomonadati; Pseudomonadota; Gammaproteobacteria; Oceanospirillales; Halomonadaceae
Description: partial 16S ribosomal RNA
Rfam family: Bacterial small subunit ribosomal RNA
Source: RNAcentral
CCUACGGGGGGCUGCAGUGGGGAAUAUUGGACAAUGGGGGCAACCCUGAUCCAGCCAUGCCGCGUGUGUGAAGAAGGCCCUCGGGUUGUAAAGCACUUUCAGCGAGGAAGAACGCCUGGUGGUUAAUACCCAUCAGGAAAGACAUCACUCACAGAAGAAGCACCGGCUAACUCCGUGCCAGCAGCCGCGGUAAUACGGAGGGUGCGAGCGUUAAUCGGAAUUACUGGGCGUAAAGCGCGCGUAGGUGGCUUGAUAAGCCGGUUGUGAAAGCCCCGGGCUCAACCUGGGAACGGCAUCCGGAACUGUCAAGCUUGAGUGCAGGAGAGGAAGGUAGAAUUCCCGGUGUAGCGGUGAAAUGCGUAGAGAUCUGGAGGAAUACCAGUGGCGAAGGCGGCCUUCUGGACUGACACUGACACUGAGGUGCGAAAGCGUGGGUAGCAAACAGGAUUAGAUACCCGAGUAGUC